RNAcentral lists this ribosomal RNA (467 nucleotides) under uncultured bacterium. RNAcentral describes it as "partial 16S ribosomal RNA". It matches the Rfam family "Bacterial small subunit ribosomal RNA", at positions 28 to 506 of the family's 1533-position model. The record is from RNAcentral.
GACGAACGCUGGCGGCGUGCUUAACACAUGCAAGUCGAACGGAAAGGCCCUGCUUUUGUGGGGUGCUCGAGUGGCGAACGGGUGAGUAACACGUGAGUAACCUGCCCUUGACUUUGGGAUAACUUCAGGAAACUGGGGCUAAUACCGGAUAGGAGCUCCUGCUGCAUGGUGGGGGUUGGAAAGUUUCGGCGGUUGGGGAUGGACUCGCGGCUGAUCAGCUUGUUGGUGGGGUAGUGGCUUACCAAGGCUUUGACGGGUAGCCGGCCUGAGAGGGUGACCGGCCACAUUGGGACUGAGAUACGGCCCAGACUCCUACGGGAGGCAGCAGGGGGGAAUAUAGCACAAUGGGCGGAAGCCUGAUGCAGCAACGCCGCGGGCGGGAUGACGGCCUUCGGGUUGUAAACCGCUUUCGCCUGUGACGAAGCGUGAGUGACGGUAAUGGGUAAAGAAGCACCGGCUAACUACGU